Molecule: ribosomal RNA, 253 nt
Filed under: uncultured bacterium
Lineage: Bacteria
Description: partial 16S ribosomal RNA
Rfam family: Bacterial small subunit ribosomal RNA
Source: RNAcentral
UACGUAGGGUGCAAGCGUUAAUCGGAAUUACUGGGCGUAAAGCGUGCGCAGGCGGUUAUGUAAGACAGUUGUGAAAUCCCCGGGCUCAACCUGGGAACUGCAUCUGUGACUGCAUAGCUAGAGUACGGUAGAGGGGGAUGGAAUUCCGCGUGUAGCAGUGAAAUGCGUAGAUAUGCGGAGGAACACCAACGGCGAAAGCACUCUGCUGGGCCGACACUGACACUGAGAGACGAAAGCUAGGGGAGCGAAUGGG